This is a long non-coding RNA of Anolis carolinensis (green anole), 2600 nucleotides long. NCBI's taxonomy places the organism in Eukaryota, Metazoa, Chordata, Lepidosauria, Squamata, Anolidae. The record is from Ensembl.
AUGUUCCUACAGCAUCCUUCUCCCUUCUUUCCAGUGUGUGUUCAGUUAAUGAACUGGAGGCUAGAACUCAAGUUCUUUUACCACUACAGUGAAAGAAAUCCGCACGACCUGCAUAACACAGAAAGUUGGGAGAGCAUGGUUUUCAUUCAGCCUACACAGAAGCAGAGAGAAACUUGGCUCAUGCUAAAGCCAGUAAAAAGAAAAUCCUGUUCCCCCUCGUUUGUCCUCAAUGCUCUAGAACUUGUAAGGCGUAAAUAUUUUUGGAAAAAAAAAGUGGUCAUUUGACUUUGAAAAUAAAGCCUUUUUGUUUAAGACAAGUAUAAACAUUUUGGAUAUAUGUGCCUAUGUGUUCUGAUUUAUCUGGGAACAUCUAGCAAUUACCAAGUGAGAAUAAAUAAAUAUUUUGAUUAAAAACAGCCAGAAAAUAGUCCAAAUUAUGCUCCCUUGAUUGGGACUACUCAAAUGGGAAAGGAGACAUGACAUAUUUCUGUUUUUAUUAGUUUCAGAAACUUAGGCUGGAACUACAUAUAGUCUCAAAAGAGAAACUGCAAAAUAAAUUACGAUAAAUUCUCUUUAUUAAGUGAUAUAGAUAUAUAGAUUGGUAAUAUGUAGGAUUCUAGAGGAAAGUAACAAACUAGUCCUCAUGGUGAAAACAUAAAGGAUCUGUUUUUAGAAGGUCUCAGAGUUAAGCGGGGAAAAUGUAAAUAAAGGAAAACAUGGCAGUUUUGUGUGAGGUUUUUACAUUGUCAAAUGAAACUAAAUUCUAUAAAUCUAGUUCUCUGGGAUAAUAGACCUCCCUCACAGCAAAAAUCUAGCUGGUAGAAAGCCAUCUUCCUCUAGUUGGAGGUCCUGCCAUGAGCAGCUAAAUACAAUAUUUCCCAAAGUUACAAGUAAGAAAGACAAAUGCUAGAUUUAAAGUUCUAAAGUGAACUGCCCAUUUUGAACAUGUAUGUAUGUAUCUGCAUAUAUAUUAUAUAUAUAUAUAUAUAUAUAUAUAUAUAUAUAUAUAUAUAUAUAUAUAUACACACACACACACACACACAUACAUACACACACACACACACGCACACACGCACACACACACAAUCAGCCACCCAUUUGAUUUUGGAACAUUUCAGAUAAGCAGUGGUUCUCAAUCUGUGGGUCCCCAGGUGUUUUGGCCUACAACUCCCAGAAAUCCCAGCCAGUUCACCAGCUGUUAGGAUUUCUGGGAGUUGGAGGAGAAACAUCUGGUGACCCACUGGUGAGAACCACUGCUUUAGAAUAAUUGAAACAAAAUGCCCCAAAGGAAAAAAAAUGAACAUGUAAUAGUUCUUACUGAACCCUCUUAAUAGUUGUGGUAAGAGGAGCUCUACUUUAAUAUUACUAGGAUUUAGCUGUUAGGAUUUCUGGGAGUUGAAAGUCAAAAGAUCUGGGGGACUCACAGUUUGAGAACUACUGGGAUAAGGGAUGGUCAACCUAAAAUGCUCUUAUUAGUAAACAUUUGCAAAACAUGAGCACAAAUUUAUAUUCAGGAACAAAAGUUGUAAAUCUCAAUUUUCACUUUCAAAAUAAUAGGUAGCUGUAAUAGGAAGAACACUAAAAAUCCACAUUUAAGCGAUAUUUUUUAUUAGCGGACCAAUGGACAUGUCGCAGACUAAUGAAUAAGCAGAAAUCAUGAUAUUAUAAAAAGCCCCAUAGCUAUUUUAAAUUGGUCCCUGAUUCAUUGCCAACUAUCCUUCCAAAACAAAUUUCCCAUCAAAUGCAUAUACGGUACUAUUUAAAAAAUUGUGCAAUACGAAAAAGAAAAUAAAGUCAACAAGGAGGAUAGUCUUAAAGAACAGGCUACAGUGGGUGUAAUGGAUCCCUAUCAGAGGCUGCUUUGUGCCAUGGCAAGACAUGAUGAUGUGGUUUGCUGGAGACUAACACUGUCAGUUGCAGAGUGCCAAUGCAUGUCGAAUGACCGUGGGGAGACCAUCAACUCAGCACAAUAUGGUAGAGUCUCACUUAUCCAACAUCCGCUUAUCUAACGUUCUGGAUUAUCCAAUGCAUUUUUGUAGUCAAUGUUUUCAAUACAUCGUGAUAUUUUGGUGCUAAAUUCGUAAAUACACUAAUUACUACAUAGCAUUACUGCGUAUUGAACUACUUUUCCCGUCAAAUUUGUUGUAUAACAUGAUGUUUUGGUGUUUAAUUUGUAAAAUCAUAACCUAAUUUGAUGUUUAAUAGGCUUUUCCUUGAUCCCUCCUUAUUAUCCAACAUAUUCGCUUAUCCAAAAUUCUGCUGGCCCGUUUAGGUUGGAUAAGUGAGACUCUACUGUACUGGCAAAAUAUUUUGAUGUUUGAGAUAGAUUAGACAUGCUGGCUGUGGGAUUCUGGGAAAGAAAGAAAAAGUUAACUUUUCCAAGCAGUGAACCAUCCCCUCUCAAUAUCCCUAUUCAGCCCUUCAAACAUUUCAACAGAAAAUACGAAGUUUCAGAUUCAAACCCUAGGUACAAUCUCCCAAUGGUAAAGGCUGAAGAAGGUCCACACAGGCACUUUUGCCAUUAUACAGGUCUUCUUGAAGCUGUGUGGCACUUCUUGUUUUCUUCUCAUCUAACCAUCUCUAACCAUACUUCCCCCACG